This is a long non-coding RNA of Hyla sarda, 854 nucleotides long. RefSeq lists it as uncharacterized. The transcript has 3 exons. NCBI's taxonomy places the organism in Eukaryota, Metazoa, Chordata, Amphibia, Anura, Hylidae. The record is from RefSeq and is a predicted model, not a curated record.
GGCGUUCCGGAUAGGAGGACGGAUGUCGCUGCCAACGGGAUGAGCGCCAGUAGCCCGCAGCGCGGCUGCCUACCAUUGUAGGUUGCACUCAAGCCCGAACUAUAUGACCAGACAUCUAACAGUUUCCUGAGUGACGAAAGGUGAUUACAAGGGAACAGGCCAGUCCGGUAUCUUAUACUGUUUCUAUAUCCUAUGUGAGUUGCAUACUAUGCCAUUGUGUAUAUACUUGUCUGCCUUUUCUUAUUAGUAAGCGCAGAUAAGGUAGAUUGGAAACCGUAGUGUAUAGACCCAUCCAGCACAGUUUUUGGUUAUUUAACCUAAACAUACAACCAACAUGCAAAUUGUGCCAGUGCAAUUCCCCUGAGGAAGCUGUUUCCUCCAUUUCAGAAAUGCGUUGGGCAUAACUAUUGGUACAAUUGGUACUCACGUUUAAUCUGUUUUUUAAAAAAGUGUCACUUUUGGUAAUGGUGUAUUUUAUCAAGGAUACAUUAAAAGCUACGUUUUAAGAGAACUUUCCGUGGGCUUUAUAUUCCCCCUUAUGAUUUGUUAAUUUUCUCGGAAGAGACUAUCUAUUUGAUACCCGCUGUGGGGUUGCUAACUUAUCAAAGUUCAAGUAUUCCUGAAAGCCAAAGGGCCUCCUCUCCUUCUGGGUCUUACCAGACGGACAGGAAACAAAAUAUGACCUAAUUGGGGGUAUUGCCCAGCCCUGGAUGAACAGCGUAAUAAAAUUGUAUUGUGUUGUAUUGUAUUGUGUGUGUUUCCUCCAUUUCAGAAGCGAUGUACCAAAAUGAUGUCGCACAAAUAAAGGGUUUGUGGAAAAAAGCUAAUUUCUAAUAUUUUCCACUGACUUUGAA